Molecule: ribosomal RNA, 519 nt
Filed under: uncultured bacterium
Lineage: Bacteria
Description: bacterial SSU rRNA
Rfam family: Archaeal small subunit ribosomal RNA
Source: RNAcentral
AACCUCCGCAAUGUGAGAAAUCGCGACGGGGGGAUCCCAAGUGCCAUUCUUAACGGGAUGGCUUUUCAUUAGUGUAAAGAGCUUUUGGAAUAAGGGCUGGGCAAGACCGGUGCCAGCCGCCGCGGUAACACCGGCAGCUCUAGUGGUAGCAGUUUUUAUUGGGCCUAAAGCGUCCGUAGCCGGUUUAAUAAGUCUCUGGUGAAAUCCUGUAGCUUAACUGUGGGAAUUGCUGGAGAUACUAUUAGACUUGAGACCGGGAGAGGUUAGAGGUACUCCCAGGGUAGAGGUGAAAUUCUGUAAUCCUGGGAGGACCGCCUGUUGCGAAGGCGUCUAACUGGAACGGUUCUGACGGUGAGGGACGAAAGUUAGGGGCGCGAACCGGAUUAGAUACCCGGGUAGUCCUAACUGUAACGAUGCGGACUUGGUGUUGGGGUGGCUUUGAGCUGCUCCAGUGCCGAAGGGAGCUGUUAAGUCCGCCGCCUGGGAAGUACGGUCGCAAGACUGAAACUUAAAGGAAUU